This 74-nucleotide transfer RNA is filed under the name Podarcis lilfordi (Lilford's wall lizard). Its description in RNAcentral is "tRNA.Lys". It matches the Rfam family "tRNA". Rfam says of the family: Transfer RNA (tRNA) molecules are approximately 80 nucleotides in length. Their secondary structure includes four short double-helical elements and three loops (D, anti-codon, and T loops). The record is from RNAcentral. Lineage: Eukaryota; Metazoa; Chordata; Lepidosauria; Squamata; Lacertidae.
ACCUGAGAUAGCUCAGUCGGUAGAGCAUGAGACUCUUAAUCUCAGGGCGGUGGGUUCGAGCCCCAGGUUUGGCA